Molecule: non-coding RNA, 3274 nt
Organism: Anolis sagrei ordinatus
Lineage: Eukaryota; Metazoa; Chordata; Lepidosauria; Squamata; Anolidae
Source: RefSeq, a predicted model, not a curated record
GACAAGGCCUUCCUUUCUCUUUCUUGGCAGUUCUCAAAUAGCAUCGUUGCUGAGAAAGACCUAAGCUAAGAUAGAAGCUGAGCUGAAGCAAGUAGUAAGCCCUCCACAGUUGUGGUUUUGACUUUAGUGGAUUUGAUCAUUCAUGGAUUUGAUUAAAAUGCCCCUUCUAGCACUCUCUAGGUCCUCCAGCAGGAUUCUGUGGUCAGCUUUACCAAAAUUUGUUUAUAGGGUCAUGCUGGCAGACCUAGUGAUUCCUAGAGUGAACACUUUUCUAGGCAUCUCUAGGUUCUCUAGUAUGAUCGGGUAGAAAGUGAAUCUAGUGUCAUGCUGGAGAAGCUGAAUAUUCCUAGAGAGGUGUUCUCUCAAGUAAAACAAAAGCAACUUGUCGUCUUGUGGUAUUUUGUAUGUUAACCCCAGUGAACGUGGAGGGCUGGAUGUAUCUCCUUGUGUUUCCCAACACUGUAGCAAUUACUUCAGGCUUUAUUUUUACACAGGGCAUGCUGAUCUCCUUCCAAUGAUACUAGACAUAUUUUCCCUUCAACUCACAGGUAACUUUGUGCAGGCUGUUUGAUGUCCCAUGUUUGGUGGCUAGGUUUUUAAAGUUCUGCUUUUGAUUGUAGAGUUGGCCGAUUCUGGAUUCAGGUGGUCUCUUAUGAAACCUGCUUAAGUGAGUCUUCUCCUGUCAAAGAAAACUAUCAGAAUGUCUUUCGCAGGUCUUGGAUUCAAAGCGUAAGGUGCAGAGGGAUAGCGCUGGCAUUCAAGAUAUAGUAAUGCUACAUUAGCAGCAGUCUUAUAAUAGUGUCUGAGGAUUUACUGUAUUUAGAGAAAUUAAUCUUUUUUAGCUUGGUAAUAAUUCUAAUAAUAGGCAUGAGUGCAUUAGAUGAUUCGCAUAAACUUCUUUAAUACAUGUUGCUUUAAGCUUACAGCAAAUAGACACAAUCCUGAUUGUGUUUUUUUUAAUUCUCAGUGUAAUACAGUUUCGUAACAGUCCUAAGUACUUUACCUUUUUAGUUUUAUUGUGAAGACAGAUAAGAAGAUUUUCUGUUCUCGCUCCUCUCUACCUCCUCCAUUUCAUUAUAGUGUUUAUUUGCGAAGUGCAGUCGGACUUAAAUUAGUUGGCUCAUAUGUAUUGUCAUGUUUGUGUUGUUUUAGCCAUGGGUGUAUCAGGUUAUGAAGAUGGGGUUUUCCUCCACUUUCAAUAUUAAUAUUUUGCCAGCAGAGACUAUGUGGUAUACUUUCAGUAAUGAACUCAGCAAGCCAUGUGGGAGAAUGUGGUAUAUUUUCAACAGGAACUUUCCCAUUUUUAGAAACUCAAGAUGCUUUGUGCAGAGAUUGCGCACAUAUUAAUAUUUCUCUCAGACCUGGAAAAACAUCCAAAAUAAAUGCUUGUGCAUUGUUUUGGGUUCGUUCUGUGUAACUUUGGUGACUAACUCAAUGUGAAGAUGAAAAGACAAUUUUUCAUGUUUGAAAGGGAGUUAGAAGAUAAUUAAUUGUGUAGAAGCUAUUAAAGCAUAUCAAACCGAACACAGAAUCUUGCUCUAUACUUUCCUUAUUAUUGUUCUGAUACAGAACAUCUGGUGCAAAAGCUGGACCGAGUGUCAAAACACAGGAGGCCCAUGCCUGGAAAAUCUUGUUGCUCCGAGCCUUGGGCUUAUAGGGCAGUUGAUUUGUGGCUUAAGAUAAAGCCAGGAUAUGUUUCUCCCACCUUCUCCUGGCCCCUGCUCCCAUAGACCCCUGUGGAGGCUGGCAAAAUAAGUACCCAGCAUAUAGCUUAAAUGGGAAGCCUUUUGAACUGCUAAUGAAUGAAUGGUGACUCAUCCAGAAAGACUCCCAACCAGACUGGAGGAUAGUUGGCUGCGUGAUUUGGAAUGACACGAUACAGAGGUUUUCGGUGCAGUCUCUGAAAAGAACGUACAGGAUUGCAAGAACACGUUAAUAGCUACUUGUGUUUAUGUUCUAAGAAAAGCAUUUUCACAGGGUGCGGGUUGUGCAAAUCAUCACAGCAGUGGACAUAUGACUAAUGUCGCAAAUGGUGUAAAAAUAAACUACUUUCAUAGUUUGUCAGAACGACUGGCAAAAAUGUUGUGUUAAGCUGUUAAUGGCUAUCUGGCUACUUUCGAAGAUGUGUGCCACUUCUGACUUACAGAAGCAGUUUGCACCUCUUUGUGCAUUGCUUUAUCAUUGGACACCGGUAGUGCUUUUUUUUUUCUGUGUCAGAAGUGACUUGAGAAACUCCAAGUCGCUUCUGGUGUGAGAGAAUUGGCCAUCUGCAAGGACGUUGCCCAGGGGACGCCCAGAUGUUUUUAUGUUUUACCAUCCUUGUGGGAGGCUUCUUUCAUGUCCCCGCAUGGGGAGCUGGAGCUGACAGAGGGAGCUUAUUCACGCUCUUCCCGGAUUCAAACCUCCAACCUGUCGGUCUUCAGUCCUGCCGGCACUAGGUUUAACCCACUGUGCCACCUGGGGCUUCACCGAUAGCGCUUCGAGAUAACAUAAACUGGGGGAAACCACAGAAACUGAUGCAUGUUUACCCAAUCACUCCAAUUUAUUGUGAGCAAGGCUGAACACAGGACAAAUCUUUAUUUUCUGGGUAUUUUAAAACAAUCAUGGUGUCUGAACUUGAUAGUUUGCCCUGUCCCAAGUUUUAGAAAGAAAUCACAAAGCUUUGUCUAUGUUGUGCAGUUAUAGAUCUACAGCUAUGUCUUCAUUUAGUCAACAUGUUGAAUCACCAGAAAAGACGAGAGCAAUCAAAACAACCUGCAUCCAAGCUGCAAUUGAUACUCGGAAAACUGUGGUUCCAUAUGUGUUCUGGCUUACUGCUAUGUCCAAGUAUGGCCAAAUUCCUAAUGUUAUUAUUUAGUCACUCUUUAGUGACAGAAUUUUUUUGUUGCUUGUGGUGGGACUGAAAAAAAAAAGAUUUGUCUUAAAUGAAGAGAGCGCCUAGCCCGUUAUGUAUAAAAGGCAGGCAUUGUGUACAUGUUGAAAUGCAUUUAAAACCUGGCAUCAUUUCCUUUGCAUGCUUCUUUCCCAUUGUUUAUGGUUGAGGUGUGGCUACUUGGACGCAUAAGAAGCAAAUCUCUCCAGAUCAGUAGGCCUGGGGAAUACAUGCUUCAAAGAAUGGGAAACCAUGCUUCAUUAGCAGCCUGUCUAACAGCCCUUGCAUGCUGUGUAACUUCCAUUUCAUUUCCCAAUAUAACUAUAUGAUAAUAGAAGCAGCAGGAGCAACAAGCAAUUUCCCCAAAGAACAUUUCUAUAUUGAAAAAAAAAACAAGAAAAA